UGUAGAGAUACGGGGGUGCCUUCGGGAACUGUGAGACAGGUGCUGCAUGGCUGUCGUCAGCUCGUGUUGUGAAAUGUUGGGUUAAGUCCCGCAACGAGCGCAACCCUUAUCCUUUGUUGCCAGCGGUCCGGCCGGGAACUCAAAGGAGACUGCCAGUGAUAAACUGGAGGAAGGUGGGGAUGACGUCAAGUCAUCAUGGCCCUUACGACCAGGGCUACACACGUGCUACAAUGGCGCAUACAAAGAGAAGCGACCUCGCGAGAGCAAGCGGACCUCAUAAAGUGCGUCGUAGUCCGGAUUGGAGUCUGCAACUCGACUCCAUGAAGUCGGAAUCGCUAGUAAUCGUGGAUCAGAAUGCCACGGUGAAUACGUUCCCGGGCCUUGUACACACCGCCCGUCACACCAUGGGAGUGGGUUGCAAAAGAAGUAGGUAGCUUAACCUUCGGGAGGGCGCUUACCACUUUGUGAUUCAUGACUGGGGUGAAGUCGUAACAAGGUAACCGUAGGGGAACCUGCGGUUGGAUCACCUCCUUACCUUAAAGAAGC
Molecule: ribosomal RNA, 546 nt
Filed under: Escherichia coli
Lineage: Bacteria; Pseudomonadati; Pseudomonadota; Gammaproteobacteria; Enterobacterales; Enterobacteriaceae
Description: bacterial SSU rRNA
Rfam family: Bacterial small subunit ribosomal RNA
Source: RNAcentral